UCCUCCAUAUUGAGGUUGCGAUUCACAAUUCGUAAUUAUUGUAAUUUUUAUUGUUGGGAAAAUGAUCUUCAUACUUGUGUUUUUGAAUGUGAACAACACACAUUAAUUCUUUAGUUAACAGGUGCUAAAAAUACGACUUUUGCUUAACUGUAAAUAACGCGUAGGCUAUGCAAUGGCUUGCUAACUAUUAACGUCUACGCGCCGUGCAAACGAGAAAGGCAAAGUUGUCAGACAUUUUCAUGUUGAUCACAACACAAUAGCAUCUCUCUGAUGACGUUAUCGACAAAGGGGAAACAAUGUUUUACUGUACUAAAUUCUGACAUCCAUGUCAAACCUAAUGACAAUACUCGAUGGUGAGCGCUCGGGGCAUUGGAUCCCCAGAGAUAGGGAGUUCCAGGUUGUUCCGUGUGCAGAGAAACGGAAUAGUGAACGUAUUGAAGAUGCACCAGCAACCCCAUGACGAAUGAGAUCGUCAACGGAGCAGCAGUAGGCACUUUAUUGUGCCAUGUAACACUGGCAUGAACGGAUUAUUUGUCAGAGCGAAUAUCGUGUAAUUGAGGGUGAAGACGUGAUAUGUCGUCCAUCUAAUAAUUCACGUCAUCCUUGAAAUAAAAUAUUUUGCAAAUACUUAACAGCUACUUUGUCACAACAACAGUAAUUAAUUGAAAACUUGUGUGUUGAAAAUACAAUUUAUUCUGUUACAGCAAUUGAAGCUAUCUUAUGGCUACCUAUAGUUGUAGCAGGAGCUGUUAUUAUCAUCAUCAUUAUCACUAUCGGUUGCUGCUACCGCCGCUGUAGAAAACAGGUGCCAGCAUCAGCAGACACUCAUACACAUGAUGACUUGGUUGUACCUGUGUCACAAGGAAAACGGAAGGUAGCAGUCGUAUAUCCCCCUUCUGAGGACGCUGUGCACCAGGUUGAGGACAAUGUUGUAGUCGGCCCUGGAGGAUCUGCUUCUGGUAAUGAUCAACAAGGACCCGGACUGCGUAGUAAUCCUGCGUACGUCCCAACUACUGCAGGUGACAGAAUAGUCACAACAGGGACAUUGGCAGGGACAGGUGUGAUGGGUGGCGAUAACCUACAUCCUGAAACGAGAGGAGAAUAUGUUGCUCUUGAUAGGAAUGCUGUCCAACCCUCAAACAUCUAUGAACAUCUGACAACAUAUGAAGUAAUUGGCAACAUGUGAAGUAACAACUUGAAAGGAAACGGCCGUCUUUACAUUACACAUAUAAGGCCCACAUGAAUAAAUUCUCACCUUGUUUGUGCUACGAGAAAAUAAGGAAGAGAAUUUAUGAAUGUCAACUUGUGUAUACGAGUACUUACUCCUUCAUCAGGUAAAGAAAAUGCUUACGUACUUACUU
This is a long non-coding RNA of Haliotis rufescens (red abalone), 1361 nucleotides long. RefSeq lists it as uncharacterized. The record is from RefSeq and is a predicted model, not a curated record. Lineage: Eukaryota; Metazoa; Mollusca; Gastropoda; Lepetellida; Haliotidae. The transcript has 3 exons.